GACGUAGGGCGCGAGCGUUGUCCGGAUUUAUUGGGCGUAAAGAGCUCGUAGGCGGCUUGUUGCGUCGACCGUGAAAACCCGGGGCUCAACUUCGGUCUUGCGGUCGAUACGGGCGGGCUAGAGUUCGGUAGGGGAGACUGGAAUUCCUGGUGUAGCGGUGAAAUGCGCAGAUAUCAGGAGGAACACCGGUGGCGAAGGCGGGUCUCUGGGCCGAUACUGACGCUGAGGAGCGAAAGCGUGGGGAGCGAACAGG
Molecule: ribosomal RNA, 253 nt
Filed under: uncultured bacterium
Lineage: Bacteria
Description: partial 16S ribosomal RNA
Rfam family: Bacterial small subunit ribosomal RNA
Source: RNAcentral